Molecule: ribosomal RNA, 878 nt
Filed under: uncultured bacterium
Lineage: Bacteria
Description: bacterial SSU rRNA
Rfam family: Bacterial small subunit ribosomal RNA
Source: RNAcentral
AACGAACGCUGGCGGCGUGUUUAAGACAUGCAAGUCGCACGGGGAAUAUUUUGGUAGUAAUACUUGAAUAUUCUAGUGGCGCACGGGUGAGUAACACGUGAAUUACAUGCCCUUCAGUGGGGAAUAGCCCAGGGAAACUUGGAUUAAUACCCCAUGGUAUCGCAAGAUUAAAGGUGGCCGCAAGGCUGCCGCUGAAGGAUUGGUUCGCGCCCUAUCAGCUUGUUGGCGAGGUAACGGCUCACCAAGGCUACGACGGGUACCUGGUUUGAGAGGACGAUCAGGCACACUGGAACUGAGACACGGUCCAGACACCUACGAGUGGCAGCAGUCGAGAAUAAUUCACAAUGGGGGCAACCCCGAUGGUGCAACGCCGCGUGGAGGAUGACGGUCUUCGGAUUGUAAACUCCUGUCAUCUGGGAGUAAGACCUGGCAGUUAAUAGCUGACAGGGUUGAUAGUACCAGAAGAGGAAGGGACGGCUAACUUCGUGCCAGCAGCCGCGGUAAUACGAAGGUCCCGAGCGUUGUUCGGAAUCACUGGGCGUAAAGGGAGCAUAGGCGGCGUGGUAAGUCAGAUGUGAAAUCCCGGGGCUCAACCCCGGAACUGCAUCCGAUACUGCCGUGCUAGAGUGAUGGAGAGGUAGCUGGAAUUCUUGGUGUAGCAGUGAAAUGCGUAGAUAUCAAGAGGAACACUCGUGGCGAAAGCGAGCUACUGGACAUUUACUGACGCUGAGGCUCGAAGGCCAGGGUAGCGAAAGGGAUUAGAUACCCCUGUAGUCCUGGCAGUAAACGGUGCACGCUUGGUGUGAGGGGAAUCGACCCCCCUUGUGCCGGAGCUAACGCGUUAAGCGUGCCGCCUGGGAAGUACGGUCGCAAGACUA